This 464-nucleotide ribosomal RNA is filed under the name uncultured bacterium. RNAcentral describes it as "partial 16S ribosomal RNA". It matches the Rfam family "Bacterial small subunit ribosomal RNA", at positions 28 to 506 of the family's 1533-position model. The record is from RNAcentral.
GACGAACGCUGGCGGCGUGCUUAACACAUGCAAAUCGAACGGAAAGGCCCUGCUUGCAGGGUACUCGAGUGGCGAACGGGUGAGUAACACGUGGGUGAUCUGCCCUGCACUUCGGGAUAAGCCUGGGAAACUGGGUCUAAUACCGGAUAGGAGCCAUUUUUAGUGUGAUGGUUGGAAAGUUUUUUCGGUGUAGGAUGAGCUCGCGGCCUAUCAGCUUGUUGGUGGGGUAAUGGCCUACCAAGGCGGCGACGGGUAGCCGGCCUGAGAGGGUGGACGGCCACAUUGGGACUGAGAUACGGCCCAGACUCCUACGGGAGGCAGCAGUGGGGAAUAUUGCACAAUGGGCGCAAGCCUGAUGCAGCGACGCCGCGUGGGGGAUGACGGCCUUCGGGUUGUAAACUCCUUUCGCUAGGGACGAAGCUUUUUGUGACGGUACCUAGAUAAGAAGCACCGGCUAACUACGU